Molecule: ribosomal RNA, 1524 nt
Filed under: metagenome
Description: bacterial SSU rRNA
Rfam family: Bacterial small subunit ribosomal RNA
Source: RNAcentral
AGAGUUUGAUCCUGGCUCAGAACGAACGGUGGCGGUGUGCCUACUACAUGCAAGUCGAGCGGGCCUUGGGGCAACCUGAGGUUUAGCGGCGAACGGGUGAGUAAAGUGUAGAUAACCUACCUUCGAGCGGGGGAUAACGCACCGAAAGGUGUGCUAAUACCGCAUAAAGUUGUCAAUCUACCUGGAAAGAGAAUGAAAGUGGGGGCUCUGUUUCGGCAGACCUCACACUCGGAGAGGGGUCUACAUCCUAUUAGCUAGUUGGUGGGGUAAAAGCCUACCAAAGCGAUGAUGGGUAGCCGGCCUGAGAGGGUGUUCGGCCACAUGGGCACUGAGACACGGGCCCGACUCCUACGGGAGGCAGCAGUAGGGAAUCUUGGGCAAUGGGCGAAAGCCUGACCCAGCGACACCGCGUGGAUGAUGAAGGCCUUCGGGUUGUAAAGUCCUAACACAUAUUAAGAAAGGCAUAUGGAUAAUACCUGUAUGUUUUGACGAAGGUAUGAAAUGAAGUCAUGGCUAACUCCGUGCCAGCAGCCGCGGUAAUACGGAGAUGACAACCGUUGUUCGGAAUUACUGGGCUUAAAGAGCACGUAGGCGGGAUAUUAAGUUGGUUGUGAAAGACCGGGGCUCACCCCUGGGAAGUCAACCAAGACUGGUAUUCUUGAGGCCGGUAGGGGAGAGUGGAAUUCCUGGUGGAGCGGUGAAAUGCGUUGAUAUCAGGAGGAACGUCGGAGGCGUAGGCGACUCUCUGGGCUGUGCCUGACGCUGAGGUGCGAAAGCUAGGGGAGCGAACGGGAUUAGAUACCCCGGUAGUCCUAGCCGUAAACGAUGGGCACUAAGUAGAGGGGUUACAACCUCUCUGCCGGAGCAAAAGUGUUAAGUGCCCCGCCUGGGGAGUAUGGUCGCAAGGCUGAAACUCAAAGGAAUUGACGGGGGCUCGCACAAGCGGUGGAGCAUGUGGUUUAGUUCGAAUCAACGCGAAGAACCUUACCUGGGCUUGACGUUCUGGGAUUAGUCCUACGAAAGUGGGAUAACACUCCCUUGGGAGUGGAACCAGAACAGGUGUUGCAUGGCUGUCGUCAGCUCGUGCCGUGAGGUGUUGGGUUAAGUCCCAUAACGAGCGAAACCUUUGUCCUUAGUUGCCAGCGGUUAGCCCGGGGACUCUAAGGAGACUGCAGACGUUAAGUCUGAGGAAGGUGGAGACGACGUCAAGUCAUCAUGGCCCUUAUGCCCAGGGCUACACACGUGCUACAAUGGUCGGUACAAAGGGAAGCGAGGCCGUGAGGUGGAGCAAAUCCCAAAAAGCCGAUCUCAGUUCGGAUUGAGGGCUGCAAUUUGCCCUCAUGAAGCCGGAAUCGCUAGUAAUCGUGGGUCAGCAAUACCACGGUGAAUGUGUUCCCGAGCCUUGUACACACCGCCCGUCAAGCCACCGAAGCAGGGGCGGCCUGAAGUCACUGACCCAACCCUUUCGGGGGAGGGAGGUGCCCAAGGAAGCUUCUGUGACGGGGACUAAGUCGAAACAAGGUA